GCAGUCGCCGCGGGAAUACGAACCGUGCGAACGUUAUUUGGAAUUACUGGGCUUAAAGCGCGUGUAGGCGGCUCUAUAAGACAGAUGUGAAAUCCCCGGGCUCAACCUGGGAACUGCAUUUGUGACUGUAGAGCUGGAGUGCGGCAGAGGGGGAUGGAAUUCCGCGUGUAGCAGUGAAAUGCGUAGAUAUGCGGAGGAACACCGAUGGCGAAGGCAAUCCCCUGGGCCUGCACUGACGCUCAUGCACGAAAGCGUGGGGAGCAAACAGGAUUAGAUACCCCAGUAGUCCCUGUCUCUUAUAA
Molecule: ribosomal RNA, 302 nt
Filed under: uncultured bacterium
Lineage: Bacteria
Description: partial 16S ribosomal RNA
Rfam family: Bacterial small subunit ribosomal RNA
Source: RNAcentral